Molecule: ribosomal RNA, 492 nt
Filed under: Blastocystis sp. subtype 3
Lineage: Eukaryota; Bigyra; Opalinata; Blastocystidae
Description: SSU rRNA
Rfam family: Eukaryotic small subunit ribosomal RNA
Source: RNAcentral
UUGGAUUGAGACAACGUACAAACCUUAUCGAUAAACAAUUGGAGGGCAAGUCUGGUGCCAGCAGCCGCGGUAAUUCCAGCUCCAAUAGCGUAUAUUAACGUUGUUGCAGUUAAAAAGCUCGUAGUUGAAAUGAAGGGUAGUUGUGUAAUGAAUACAUUCGUGUAUUUUGUUAUUCUACUACCCUCCUUCUAAAUUCGAUAUAUGAGUAUUAAUUUACUUGUAUAUGGUUUUAGACCUUUACUGUGAGAAAAUUAGAGUGUUCAAAGCAGGCAUUUGCUUGAAUAUAUUAGCAUGGAAUAAUCAUGUAUGAUUUUCAUGAUGUAUUUGAUUGGUUUGGUUCAUGAGAAUAAGAUUAAAAGGGACAGUUGGGGGUAUUCAUAUUCAAUAGUCAGAGGUGAAAUUCUCGGAUUUAUGGAAGAUGAACAAGUGCGAAAGCAUUUACCAAGGAUGUUUUCAUUAAUCAAGAACGAAAGUUAGGGGAUCGAAGAGGAU